CGUGUAGGCGGGAAGGUAAGUCGGGCGUGAAAUCCCUGAGCUCAACUCAGGAACUGCACUCGAAACUACUUUUCUUGAGUGCCGGAGAGGAAAGCGGAAUUCCUGGUGUAGAGGUGAAAUUCGUAGAUAUCAGGAGGAACACCAGUGGCGAAGGCGGCUUUCUGGACGGUAACUGACGCUGAGACGCGAAAGCGUGGGAGCAAACA
Molecule: ribosomal RNA, 206 nt
Filed under: uncultured bacterium
Lineage: Bacteria
Description: partial 16S ribosomal RNA
Rfam family: Bacterial small subunit ribosomal RNA
Source: RNAcentral